Molecule: non-coding RNA, 24 nt
Filed under: Rattus norvegicus (Norway rat)
Lineage: Eukaryota; Metazoa; Chordata; Mammalia; Rodentia; Muridae
Source: RNAcentral
UGCUUGCAUAUGGCUCACUGGGGC